GAUGAAGAACGUAGCGAAAUGCGAUAAGUAGUGUGAAUUGCAGAAUUCAGUGAAUCAUCGAAUCUUUGAACGCACAUUGCGCCCAUUAGUAUUCUAGUGGGCAUGCCUGUUCGAGCGUCAUUAAUUCCACUUAAGCCCUGCUUAGUGUUGGGAAUCUACUCUAGUGGUGCUACCCUGGAGCUACCCCUGAAAGGGGGCUGGCCCGGUAGUUACCCUGUAGUUCCUCAAAGAUAGUGCGCGGAGUUGCGUGGUCCUCUGAGCUUAGUAACUAUACACCUAGCUUUUGAGUGUCCCGCGGCGCCUGCCGUUUAAACCCCAUCUUUUAAUGGUUGACCUCGGAUCAGGUAGGAAUACCCGCUGAACUUAAGCAUAUCAAUAAGCGGAGGA
RNAcentral lists this unclassified non-coding RNA (387 nucleotides) under soil metagenome. Its description in RNAcentral is "partial contains 5.8S ribosomal RNA, internal transcribed spacer 2, and large subunit ribosomal RNA". The stretch from base 1 to 120 matches the Rfam family "5.8S ribosomal RNA", at positions 35 to 154 of the family's 154-position model. The record is from RNAcentral.